GGGCCUGUAGCUCAGUUGGGAGAGCGUUCGGUUCGCAUCCGAGAGGUCAAGGGUUCGAAUCCCUCCAGGUCCACCA
This 76-nucleotide transfer RNA is filed under the name Faecalibacterium prausnitzii. Its description in RNAcentral is "tRNA-Ala". It matches the Rfam family "tRNA". From Rfam's summary of the family: Transfer RNA (tRNA) molecules are approximately 80 nucleotides in length. Lineage: Bacteria; Bacillati; Bacillota; Clostridia; Eubacteriales; Oscillospiraceae. The record is from RNAcentral. RNAcentral also lists the same sequence under 34 other names.